GAUGAACGCUGGCGGCGUGCCUAAUACAUGCAAGUCGAGCGAACCACUUCGGUGGUGAGCGGCGAACGGGUGAGUAACACGUAGGUGAUCUGCCCAUCAGACGGGGACAACGAUUGGAAACGAUCGCUAAUACCGGAUAGGACGAAAGUUUAAAGGUGCUUCUGGCACCGCUGAUGGAUGAGCCUGCGGCGCAUUAGCUAGUUGGUAGGGUAAAGGCCUACCAAGGCGACGAUGCGUAGCCGACCUGAGAGGGUGAAUGGCCACACUGGGACUGAGACACGGCCCAGACUCCUACGGGAGGCAGCAGUAGGGAAUCUUCGGCAAUGGGCGAAGGCCUGACCGAGCAACGCCGCGUGAAUGAUGAAGGCCUUCGGGUUGUAAAAUUCUGUUAUAAGGGAAGAACGACUUUAGUAGGAAAUGGCUAGAGUGUGACGGUACCUUAUGAGAAAGCCACGGCUAACUACGUGCCAGCCGCCGCAGUAA
Molecule: ribosomal RNA, 483 nt
Filed under: uncultured bacterium
Lineage: Bacteria
Description: partial 16S ribosomal RNA
Rfam family: Bacterial small subunit ribosomal RNA
Source: RNAcentral